RNAcentral lists this ribosomal RNA (496 nucleotides) under uncultured bacterium. RNAcentral's name for it is "bacterial SSU rRNA". It matches the Rfam family "Bacterial small subunit ribosomal RNA", at positions 899 to 1397 of the family's 1533-position model. The record is from RNAcentral.
ACUCAAAUGAAUUGACGGGGGCCCGCACAAGCAGCGGAGCAUGUGGUUUAAUUCGAAGCAACGCGAAGAACCUUACCAGGCCUUGACAUCGUGUGCAAUCCCAAGAGAUUGGGAGUUCUUCGGACACACAGACAGGUGGUGCAUGGUUGUCGUCAGCUCGUGUCGUGAGAUGUUGGGUUAAGUCCCGCAACGAGCGCAACCCUUACGGUCAGUUACCAGCAUGUAAAGAUGGGGACUCUGACAGGACAGCCGGGGUCAACCCGGAGGAAGGUGGGGACGACGUCAAAUCAUCAUGCCCCUUACGGCCUGGGCUACACACGUGCUACAAUGGCCGAAACAAAGAGAAGCGAGCCCGCGAGGGGGAGCAAAACUCAAAAAAACGGUCCCAGUUCGGAUCGUGGGCUGCAACCCGCCCACGUGAAGUCGGAGUUGCUAGUAAUCGCGAAUCAGCAUGUCGCGGUGAAUACUGUUCCCGGGCCUUGUACACACCGCCCGU